UACGAGGGGUGCAAGCGUUGCUCGGAAUUAUUGGGCGUAAAGGGUAGGUAGGUGGUCUCAUUUGUCUAGGGUGAAAGCCUUGAGCUUAACUCAAGAAGUGCCCCGGAAACGGUGAGACUAGAGUCCUGGAGAGGGUUGUGGAAUUCCCGGUGUAGCGGUGAAAUGCGUAGAGAUCGGGAGGAACACCAGAGGCGAAGGCGGCAACCUGGACAGGCACUGACACUCAACUACGAAAGCGUGGGGAGCAAACAGG
This 253-nucleotide ribosomal RNA is filed under the name uncultured bacterium. RNAcentral's name for it is "partial 16S ribosomal RNA". It matches the Rfam family "Bacterial small subunit ribosomal RNA", at positions 524 to 776 of the family's 1533-position model. The record is from RNAcentral.